This 416-nucleotide unclassified non-coding RNA is filed under the name Hevea brasiliensis (rubber tree). Lineage: Eukaryota; Viridiplantae; Streptophyta; Magnoliopsida; Malpighiales; Euphorbiaceae. The record is from RNAcentral.
CAUGGAGAUCAGCAGAUGACCCAGGAACAGGGAACUAUUCGGCUAAGCUCGACCCAAGCGGCUCACCACAGUACUUUCUGUACAACGGUGCGAAGCGUCAUUGGCGAAGUGUCUCAUGGCCAUGGCCAUGGAGAGCAUUACCGAAUGUGCGCAACUACAGUUUUGUUAACAAUCAAGACGAGGUAUACUUUACCUUCUUUCGAGAUGAAACUUCAAGUAUAGUAAGAAUCAAGAUGGAUUACUCAGGAUCGAUCAAGUGGAGCACAUGGCAUGAAAGUGAAGGCCAAUGGAAGGAGUUCUGGUCGGCACCCAAAUACCAGUGUGAUUUUUAUGGAAACUGUGGUGCUUAUAGUAACUGUUAUCCUAGCAAUGGUCUUACUUUUGAAUGCUCCUGUUUACCUGGGUAUGAACCCAAG